GAUGAAGAACGCAGCGAAAUGCGAUAAGUAAUGUGAAUUGCAGAAUUCAGUGAAUCAUCGAAUCUUUGAACGCACAUUGCGCCCCUUGGUAUUCCGAGGGGCAUGCCUGUUCGAGCGUCAUUAUAACCCCUCAAGCUCAGCUUGGUGUUGGGGCCUGCUGCACUGGCAGCCCUUAAAAUCAGUGGCGGCGCCAUCUGGCUCUAAGCGUAGUAAUUCUUCUCGCUAUGGAGUCCUGGUGGAUGCUUGCCAUCAACCCCCAAUUUUUCUAUGGUUGACCUCGGAUCAGGUAGGGAUACCCGCUGAACUUAAGCAUAUCAAUUAGGGAGGA
RNAcentral lists this unclassified non-coding RNA (328 nucleotides) under soil metagenome. RNAcentral describes it as "partial contains 5.8S ribosomal RNA, internal transcribed spacer 2, and large subunit ribosomal RNA". The stretch from base 1 to 120 matches the Rfam family "5.8S ribosomal RNA", at positions 35 to 154 of the family's 154-position model. The record is from RNAcentral.